GGCAUGGCUGUCGUCAGCUCGUGUCGUGAGAUGUUCGGGUUAAGUCCCGCAACGAGCGCAACCUUACCCUUAGUGUUUCCCGAAAGGAUUACCCUCUAAGGGGACUGCCCCGGACAACGGGGAGGAAGGUGGGGGAUGACGUCAAGUCCGCAUGCUCCUUACGUCUAGGGCUACACACGUCCUACAAUGGGGUCGACAGUGGGAUGCAAAGCCGCGAGGUGGAGCCAAUCCCCAAACGGCCUCUCAGUUCGGAUAGUAGUCUGCAACUCGACUACUUGAAGUCGGAAUCGCUAGUAAUGGCGGAUCAGCAUGCCGCCGUGAAUACGUUCCCGGGUCUU
This 338-nucleotide ribosomal RNA is filed under the name uncultured bacterium. RNAcentral's name for it is "bacterial SSU rRNA". It matches the Rfam family "Bacterial small subunit ribosomal RNA", at positions 1042 to 1382 of the family's 1533-position model. The record is from RNAcentral.